This 237-nucleotide ribosomal RNA is filed under the name uncultured bacterium. RNAcentral's name for it is "partial 16S ribosomal RNA". It matches the Rfam family "Bacterial small subunit ribosomal RNA", at positions 524 to 760 of the family's 1533-position model. The record is from RNAcentral.
UACGAAGGGAGCUAGCGUUACUCGGAAUUAUUGGGCGUAAAGCGUGCGUAGGCCGCUUUGCAAGUUGGAAGUGAAAGCCCAGGGCUCAACCUUGGAAUUGCUUUCAAAACUACAGAGCUAGAAUAUCAGAGAGGAUAGCGGAAUUACUAGUGUAGAGGUGAAAUUCGUAGAUAUUAGUAGGAACACCGGAGGCGAAAGCGGCUAUCUGGCUGAUUAUUGACGCUGUUGCACGAAAGC